Perca fluviatilis (European perch) is the source of this 388-nucleotide long non-coding RNA. RefSeq lists it as uncharacterized. The record is from RefSeq and is a predicted model, not a curated record. The transcript is spliced from 4 exons. Lineage: Eukaryota; Metazoa; Chordata; Actinopteri; Perciformes; Percidae.
AGAGUUAGAGGAAAAACUUCCGAAAUAUGGGAAUAUUUCAGGCCAACUGGUAAAAGAGUUGUCUGUACACUCUGUCAAACUUCACUUGGAAACACACAGGAGUUGUUCAAGACGUUUGGAGCGUUUUUUUCUCUCCUCCAUAUCACCUCUGGGGCUCCGUAAAUAUGCGCUCACAGAAAAGGAAAAGACAACAAAGCAGUCCGCCGUCUUCACAACUCCGAGACAAACUGUAGCAGGCGCUACGAACCGGAGCAAGGACUAACCUCGCCUCAUAACGAGGCCGUGACCUAUAUUUGCUCGGAGCUGUCUGCCGGUCCAGAUUUACAUUACGCUGAUAAUGACGCCAUUGUGUCUGCCUGUAAGACAUAUCACCAGACAGCAGCAGGAG